UACGUAGGGGGCAAGCGUUGUCCGGAAUCAUUGGGCGUAAAGAGCGUGUAGGCGGCCUGAUAAGUCGGCUGUGAAAGUCAAGGGCUCAACCCUUGAAUGCCGGCCGAUACUGUCAGGCUAGAGUUCGGAAGAGGCGAGUGGAAUUCCCGGUGUAGCGGUGAAAUGCGCAGAUAUCGGGAGGAACACCUAUGGCGAAGGCAGCUCGCUGGGACGUUACUGACGCUGAGACGCGAAAGCGUGGGGAGCAAACAGG
This 253-nucleotide ribosomal RNA is filed under the name uncultured bacterium. Its description in RNAcentral is "partial 16S ribosomal RNA". It matches the Rfam family "Bacterial small subunit ribosomal RNA", at positions 524 to 776 of the family's 1533-position model. The record is from RNAcentral.